Long non-coding RNA from Vicia villosa (hairy vetch), 522 nucleotides. RefSeq lists it as uncharacterized. The transcript has 3 exons. The record is from RefSeq and is a predicted model, not a curated record. NCBI's taxonomy places the organism in Eukaryota, Viridiplantae, Streptophyta, Magnoliopsida, Fabales, Fabaceae.
UCGAUUUCAUCUUCUUCAUCAACAUAUGUUAAUGUUUCUAUAUGUUACCGUUUCUAUAUUUUUAAGUUUAUGUUAAUGUUUAAAGAUCUAAAAUAUUAAUUUGUGUGAAUCUUACAGAUUUAAAUCUUGGAAAAUAAGACAAAGAGAGAGCGGGUGAAGAAGAAAGAGAGUUAACAGGGGUUUGCGUGCUAUUGGGAAAGGAUGCUAGAAGUUAAAGAAUUUGACUUUGAGUGAAUGUUAUUUCCUAAGUGACAAGGGCUUGGAAGCAAUUGAUAUUGGGUGCAAGAAACUCACUCAUCUCAAAGUCAAUGGAUGCCACAAUAUUGGAACCUUGGGACUUGAAUCUGUUGGGAAAUCAUGCGAACAUCUCUCAGAGUUAGCAUUGCUUUACUGCCAAAGAACUGGUGAUCUUGGGCUUCUUCAGGUUGGAAGGGGAUGUCAAUUCUUGCAAGCUCUUCACUUGGUAGAUUGCUCAAGCAUUGGAGAUAAAGCCAUCUAUGUUCGUGUUUGAUUUUCUAUAUG